AGAGUUUGAUCCUGGCUCAGGAUGAACGCUAGCGGCAGGCUUAACACAUGCAAGUUGAGGGGUAACAUAAGGAAGCUUGCUUUCUUGAUGACGACCAGCGAACGGGUGCGUAACACGUAUGGAACCUACCUUAUACAGGGGCAUAGCCCAGAGAAAUCUGGAUUAAUUCCCCAUAACAUCUGAGAGUGGCAUCACUUUCAGAUUAAAGCUUCGGCGGUAUAAGAUGGCCAUGCGGCCCAUUAGUUAGUUGGUGAGGUAAUGGCUCACCAAGACUAUGAUGGGUAGGGGUUCUGAGAGGAUUAUCCCCCACACUGGUACUGAGACACGGACCAGACUCCUACGGGAGGCAGCAGUGAGGAAUAUUGGGCAAUGGACGAAAGUCUGACGCAGCCAUGCCGCGUGCAGGAUGACAGCCCUAUGGGUCGUAAACUGCUUUUAUAUGGGAAGAAACCCCUUCACGUGUGAAGGGCUGACGGUACCAUAUGAAUAAGCACCGGCUAACUCCGUGCCAGCAGCCGCGGUAAUACGGAGGGUGCAAGCGUUGUCCGGAUUUAUUGGGUUUAAAGGGUACGUAGGCGGCCAAUUAAGUCAGUGGUGAAAGCCAGCAGCUCAACUGUUGAACUGCCAUUGAUACUGAUUGGCUCGAGUUCUGUUAAGGUAGGCGGAAUUGAUGGUGUAGCGGUGAAAUGCAUAGAUACCAUCAGGAACACCGAUUGCGAAGGCAGCUUACUAGGCAGAAACUGACGCUAAUGUACGAAAGCGUGGGGAUCGAACAGGAUUAGAUACCCUGGUAGUCCACGCCGUAAACGAUGCUCACUCGCUGUUGGCGAUACACAGUCAGCGGCCAAGCGAAAGCGUUAAGUGAGCCACCUGGGGAGUACGCUCGCAAGAGUGAAACUCAAAGGAAUUGACG
This 913-nucleotide ribosomal RNA is filed under the name marine metagenome. RNAcentral describes it as "bacterial SSU rRNA". It matches the Rfam family "Bacterial small subunit ribosomal RNA", at positions 8 to 915 of the family's 1533-position model. The record is from RNAcentral.